CGGGGAUAACAGGCUGAUACCGCCCAAGAGUUCAUAUCGACGGCGGUGUUUGGCACCUCGAUGUCGGCUCAUCACAWCCUGGGGCUGAAGUAGGUCCCAAGGGUAUGGCUGUUCGCCAUUUAAAGUGGUACGCGAGCUGGGUUUAGAACGUCGUGAGACAGUUCGGUCCCUAUCUGCCGUGGGCGCUGGAGAACUGAGGGGGGCUGCUCCUAGUACGAGAGGACCGGAGUGGACGCAUCACUGGUGUUCGGGUUGUCAUGCCAAUGGCACUGCCCGGUAGCUAAAUGCGGAAGAGAUAAGUGCUGAAAGCAUCUAAGCACGAAACUUGCCCCGAGAUGAGUUCUCCCUGACUCCUUGAGAGUCCUGAAGGAACGUUGAAGACGACGACGUUGAUAGGCCGGGUGUGUAAGCGCAGCGAUGCGUUGAGCUAACCGGUACUAAUGAACCGUGAGGCUUAACCUUACAACGCCGAAG
RNAcentral lists this ribosomal RNA (474 nucleotides) under Escherichia coli. RNAcentral describes it as "bacterial LSU rRNA". It matches the Rfam family "Bacterial large subunit ribosomal RNA", at positions 2469 to 2925 of the family's 2925-position model. The record is from RNAcentral. Lineage: Bacteria; Pseudomonadati; Pseudomonadota; Gammaproteobacteria; Enterobacterales; Enterobacteriaceae.